This 11299-nucleotide long non-coding RNA is filed under the name Trifolium pratense (red clover). Its description in RNAcentral is "long non-coding RNA (TPRA_LNC003523)". The record is from RNAcentral. Lineage: Eukaryota; Viridiplantae; Streptophyta; Magnoliopsida; Fabales; Fabaceae.
AGGUUUGCAAAAUAAGCUAAGGAAGAGCAAGAAAACCUAGGGAUAAAAAUGUAUUUUUCUUUUAUUUGUCUGCUGGACAAAAAGUUGUCCACCACUUUAGUGGGUAACAAAAAAGUGGGUAGUUAUCCUGUCCUUAGUAUAUUUUUUUGUGCUGUCAUAUUUUUCUUUUUUAAAACAAAUGUUGGACAACUAUAUUUUUUAUUUUGUCACGUCCUUUUGCAAAUCAAACGCAACCUAUAUGUUUUAAGUUUCAAAUUAAGUUUCACGUCACUGAUUAAAAAAAAAAAAUUUAAGUUCCGGGUUGUAUAAAAAUAUAUUGAAAGAGACUUUGAAAAAAAAACACUAAAUUGCAAGUUGUAAAAUAUAAAAGACACUCAAUAGCGUUUUUGUGAUGAAGUGCUACUAAAUAUAGGAUAUAUGAUAAAGCUUUUGAAGCCCAAAAAAGCGCUAUAGUAGCAUUUUUCUAGUUAAUGUUAUUAAAUAAUUAAAAUCAAAUAAAUAUUCAUUCUACUGCUAAUGUAUUAAUUAGAGAGACCUAUUUUUCAUGCUAGUCCAAAUUUAGUUUUAUAAUAAAACAUAAAAUUUUAGAACUAUUAACGAAGAAAAAAUUAUUUCGUUAUUUUGUAUGAUUUUUUCAAAAGAACUCAAAGGAGUAUUAUUUAGUGUCUUAUUUCAUUUAUCGUCACUUUAGAGUACAAAGCUAUAGUUUCAAGGUAGGUUUGAUUACCAAUUGAAAAAAUAAAAACAAAAUUAUUCAAUGUUUAAUACAAUUAUUGAAGAGAUUAUUUGUUUGUAGGAGAAUUCAAUCUUUCCAGCACGGCAUUCACAAUAGCUAUGAAUGCACACAGAAAGUUCAUAUUGCCUACAGAAAGUUCAAGCAACUGUAAGAUUUAACUUUUUUCAAAACAACAAAAAACAAAAGAAAUAAAAUUAUAGCUACAACAAAGUUAAGUUGAGAAUAUGAAAUCAAAGUUGCAAGGUGCGUGAAUUUGUGUAACAACCAAAAUCAAGACAAUUUAAUUUCAUUACCAACAUUAUCUCUUUUUUUUUUAUUGGAAUGCAUUAUCAACAUUAUAUUAGCAAAAUAAAGCAAAAUAAAAAAUAAAAAAAUAUGAUGAUUGGUUCCUUACUAGUAGAAGUCAUUCUACCCAAGUAAUUUAAGACAAUAGCCAUGACUGCAAAUAGCAAUGAAGUAGUUGGGUCUCAUGACUUCAUCAGAACAAUCUUUAGCGGUUUUACAUUUGAUAGUAAUCCGCCUCUGUAAUAAAAAAUAGAAAAAAAAAUAAAAUUAUUGCGAGAGCUAACUUAAUGGUUUUAUCCAUUUUUUUCUUCCUUUUUGUAUAUAACAAAGAGAAUACGAUUUUAUCAAUUUAUAGUGUACAAAACUCACCAAAUUUUAAAACAAUUUAAUAAUUUUUAGCACUUAAGUUUACCAAAAUGUCUUGUAUUUGCCUCUUUAGAAUAUUUAAUAAAUGUCUUUUCGGUAUAUUAAUGUGUUGAGUUUGUCCCUUAAACACACUUACCGAUCAAGUGAUAUGAAAAUUAAAUAAUUGUAGAAUUUAGGGACUAAUACAUAUUGAAGUUGUUUUUUUAUUAUACUUUUUUAUAUAAAAUCAUUUGAUUGUUGAGACCUAAUAUCUGAACUAUGCAGCCACCUCAGCAAGACAACUUUCUUAUGGAACAUCCAAUUAAAUAUAUUAAUAAUAUAACUUAAGAAUCAAAGUUUAAUUAUUGUGCAGUGUCAAGUGUUUUAAAAAUAAGAGUUUAUAAUUCACCAAAAAAAAAGAAGUUUAUAUAUGCAUCCAAUAACAUGUUACUACAUUAUUUAAUGAAUGUGACACGUCAUGUAUUUUAAAACAAAUUACAUAUUGGUCAAUAUAUUAUUGGAUAUAGGUGCUCUUUUGGCUUUGGUUGUUGCCGGGUCAACCUAGUUUGGUUCUUUUGAUCUUGUCCAAAAUUUGAUGUAAAAAAUUUGUUGAGCCGCUAAACAAUUUGUGGUUACGUUCAUUCCACACAACCCACACACAAGCAAGUCAUAUGAGUUGCAUGAAGGUACGCCGUGCUCGAAAACAACUCGUUGAUGUAGUGAACUGAACGAAAUGAUCUAAAAGGAUCUGAGCUGUCACCGAUGAAGAGCCAAUCCAUGAGCUAAUAAGAGACCAAAGACGACCAAAUGUGCUGCAAGAGAGGAACAAGUGCUGAGCCGACUCAACCUCACCACAACCCGAAACACAAAAAUGAGCCGCCGAGGAUAAAAUACGUCGAGAGACCAGGUUUUCUCUGGCAGGUAACCUGUCCCGCAAAAGUCGCCAAUCAUAUCUUAUGUUUAUGGGUUGUGUGGUUAAUAAAAAUUUGCAGUUCAAAAAAAAAAAGAUACAUGUGUGUAAAAUAAGUUUACACCGACUAUAUAUAUAAAUUAAAUUCUAAAAAUAAGUGCCGGCAUAAACCUAAUGUUUGGCAAGAUGGAUCAGUCAUGAUGGAUCAGUCAUGAAAAUAUACUUAAGUUUUUCUUCAAGUGGUCCAUGAUGGAUCAGUCAUAAAUAACGUUCGAACUAAUAUGAAUUUCACAAAAUCUACCGUUGGAUUGAAUGUUUAUAUCAUAUAGAUCGUCCAUAAAAAAAAUUAGCAAAAUUGAAAAUCAUUUGAUAUGUCAUUGAGACCCAUUAAGAUUAACGAUUUAUGGGUUUUUCUUAAAUACCAUUAAUCUUGAUAGCUCUCAAUAACAUAGUUAUGAAUGGAUUUUUUUAUCAGGUUAGUUUGCUUAGUUUUGAAAUUUGUUUCCUGUAAGUUUUAUUCCUCAAAUUCAAUGUUAUACAAUGUUAUUCAAUGCCUCAUUUGAAAUUUUUUGUAGUGAGUUUUCAAUGUUAGGUCAAAAGUUUCAAGCGAAUGCGGAAGGUAAUUCCGAUGAGCUUGUAGAUCCACCGAAGGUGGAGGAUAAUAUCGGCGCUGUCCCACAUGGACUUUCAACAGAUUCGGAGGUGGUUAAGAGGUGGUCAGGGACGGACAUAAGGGGGGUAAGUAGGGGCUGAGGCCCCCACUCUUGUCGUAUUUUUUUUUCAUAUACUUGUUCUUGAUAUAUAUGUACACAUAAAUUGAUAUUUGAGAGAUGUGUUUAAAGAUUAGUAACGACCGUUUGGUGCAAAACAUGUACCCACAACAUAGUAAUCGUAACAAUUUAUUUUAAAAUAUUUUGAUAAUAUAUAUUUUACACUACUAAAGUCCAAAUUCAAUUAAGUUAGUUUUGAUUGUUUGCUACAAGUGAGAGAUGAUUUUCUGCUAUGAAGAUUGUGAAAAAUAGGUUGAGAAACAAGAUAGAAAAUGAAUUUCAAACUAAUUAUGUGAUUACUUACACCGAGAAAAAAAUUGCUAAAAAAUUUAAUCCAGGUUUGCAUAGCUAACCUUCAAUUUAAGCAUCUAUUUUUAUAUCAUUACAUUAGAUUAGUUAAUUAGUUUAUUUUUGCUAUAUUUUUUUUGUUAAUUUAUGACGAAUACCUAAGAAAUUCUUAUAGUUAAUUGCUUUUUUAGUGGUUUAUUUUGUAUAAUUAAACCGUGUUAUGUACGGUUAUAGAUUAAGUUAGAUAAAGAAAAGAAAAUUCAAUCUAUUAGAGACAAAGGUAAAUAAAAUUUUAGUGAACACUAAGUUUAAUUAGUGUUCUUAUACUUUAAUUAGUUGAGAAAGUUAGGAUUUAUAUAACUUGUNUUGAGGAGAAAAAGAUUGUGAGUUUGUAAUUUAUGAAUGUUGAAUUUCAUCCAUUCCAUUGUGCUCCAUAAAUUUAAACAGAGAUUUAGGCAAUUGUUAAGCAUUGAAUUUGAACUCAAUUUGGAAUAUCCAACGAACCACCUGGGCUGGAAAUUUAUUGAUAGAUGCAGAACACAAACUAUUUUUACAAUGUACCAUUUGCAUUUUCUUUUUAAUUAUUACUCACAAAACAGGUUCUUGACAUCAAUUGCAUUUUUCAUUUUUGUUUUUUAUCUUCUUUCUGAAAAAUAGUGUUUUUAGUAUAAGUAAUUAUCAAGAUUGGAUGAGGAAGAAUGAAAACUAACGUGUUUUUAGUAUAAGUAAUUAAAAAGAAGCCGUGGUAGUUGGUCAUUGGUGAAUCUCAAUUUCCAUUGUUGAGAUAACAGAUUCAUAUUUUGUUUACACAUGUCACUCAGAUUAUUGUCAUUGCAUGUUAUGCUCUAUUUUUGCCACCUUCAGUAUUUGUUGUGUCAUAGGUCAUAUAUGUUGUCCAGUCUCUUGAAAUGCCAUUUUACAUAUAUCCUUAUGCUCAAUUCUACAGUUUUUCAUUCAAGUUAGGUUAGAGUGACCCAUAAUUUCUUAAUUAAGUAUAUAUUGUUUUUCAUAUGCUUUAUAGGUCAUAUGCUCAAUUGAAUAGUGUAAGAAAAGGAAAACCAAGGAAAAAGCAUGAAAGAAUAGCGGUUAAAUUUUGCGACUUCCAGAUAGGCCACACUCAAGAUUUACGUGGCAAACAUUAUUAGCCACGGGUAAAUCCCCAUUUAGCUAUGGUCUUGACCGUGACUAAACCACAAAUUUUUUUGUAGUGAAUGGUGAUCCACCAUAGCAUCAGCCUAAGUCUUUAUACUUGUUUUUGUAUCAUCAAACUUCAUUUGCAUGGAUUCUUUGCCUUUGGUUAAUCACUUGCAUCAUCUCCCUCUCUUCUUCCUCUUCCUUGCAAUUCUUCAUUAGUCUCUCGUUAUCUUUUCAAGCUUAAUGGUCUUAUUGAAGAUGUGAAAACACAAGAAGGAGGGGUUGAAUUGUGUUUUAAGAUAAAUUAAAACUUUUUCGAAGUUUUAUCUUAAGCAAAGAUUACAGCGGAUAAAGCAAAGUAAACACAAUAAGAGAGAUCAGAGGGAGAGAAAAGACACAGCAGAUUUAUACUAGUUCCUCUCGCAAAACGAGAGUAGUUCAGUCCCUUGAUAUUUUGCUGUAAUUUGGAGAUACUUAUAUGCUAUGUUUAUGAUGGAACAUAUUCUUGCAGAUAUGAAUUUUUAGUUUGAUAUGAACUUUCAAAUUAAAAAUUGAUGAUACAAUUUAAUGUGAAUUAUUUAUAUGAAUACAUUUAAUUUCUAAAAAAAAAAAGGACGAAAAGUAAAUAUUCUGUCACAGGAUUGGAAAAAACAAAAAUACGCUGUGGGGACGGAAUGUGAAUAUUCGGUCACUUUUUUGAGACGGAAUUAAAUCAUUAUGUCGUAGUAUUGGGACGAAACGUAAUUUUUCGUGUCAAUGAAUUUGCAAUGCUCUAAUUGCGACGAAAUAAUUUUGUCACAACCUUAUAAAGAGAAGAGAAAACAAUUUUAUUUCAUUUCAUUACCAACCUUAUCUUAGAGUACAAUAUUAAAGUUGCAAGUGCGUGAAAUUAAGAAAAGUAAAUUAUUGGUUGCUUGUUGGGAGAAGUAAUUCUACCCUACAUACGGUGUUCUUGUUGGAAAUAUGGAUUGACUACCGAUACACAAUAACCAUUUUCACAAUGAGCAACGGCCAAGUCGGCUGAUAUGACACAAACCGGACAAUCUUUAGCGGAGGUACAUUUGAUAGAUGUUUUAGUGUAGAUAAAAGGCCUAAGUUCAGUAGGAUCAGUACUUGCAACCUCCUCUCUAAAACAAAAUAGGAAAACAAAUAAAAUUAUAGUGGGAAACUUAAUAGUUUUAUCCAUAUUUCUUUUCUUCCCGUAUGUAAUGUUAGAAUACGAUUUUGUUAAUUUAUAUUGUAUAAAGCUCAUCAAAUGUUUUUUUUUUCUUUCUUUUUAACGGAAAAACAAUUAAAUAUUUUUUGUUGCCCAAUUUUCUGUACUUGACUCUUUAGAACACUUAGGAGAUGUCUUUUCGGUAUUCUUAAACAAUUUUAAAAUAUAGGGAGUAUUCUUAAAUACAGAGCAAAAUGUAGGUACUAAAAAAAUAUUUAAUCCUAUAUAAAUUAAAUUGUCAAGUCAGCGUUCUGUUAGUAGAAUACACGAAAGGACCAAACUUGAUAAUGAAAGAUAUUAUAGGAUUUUUUCUUACACAACUUUUAAAAUACUCCCUCAGUCCCAAAAUAUAAGCAAAAGUGGGUCAGCAAAAGUGAAUAUAUCUGGACUAAAUUUUAAACCAAAUUCAUCAAUUUUUGUUGACCUAUUUUUGCUUAUAUUUUGAGAGGGAGGGAGUAUAGGAACAUUAUUAAAUAUAUAAAAUACAAUUUAGACACUAAAAACAUAUUUAACCCUAUUAAUAAUAACUAUUACAAACCAGAGGUGACAUAAACAAAAACUCGAUGACAAAACUAAUAGUACCUAAAAUUUGGCAAUGAAAACUGUUAGAGCAAUAUCGUGACAAUAUUGCUCCAUCCAUUCAUACUCGUGAGCGACCCUUCUCCUUUGAAGAACUUCGUAGCCACUUGCUUGCUCAUGAUGAAUAUAUUCAUCGUGAAUCUCAAGUUGAAAAUCAAGUUCCAACUGCAAACCUAGCCCAUAAAAACUUCAAACAUGAUGAUCUCCCACGAACACCAUCAUCUGGUCGUGGUCACUCAUCUUUCACUCCACGUGGCUCACACUCUGCUCGAGUUUACGGUCGAGGCAAAUCCAAAGGUUCUAACUUUCGUGGCAAUAAACCCCUUCAACGUUGCCAAUUUUGCUCAACUAUUGGGCAUAUUGCUCUCUGUUGUCCAUAGAUUCCCCAACCAAGCAACCCCCCAAUGGCUCACUAUGCUUAUGCUAACCCACCAACUCCAAUAGGGUACUAGAUACUGGAGCCAUUCACCAUGUUGCAAACAAUCUCAACAACAUGCAUAUUUACUCUGAAUAUGAUGGCUCUCAAGAAGUUCAGAUCGGUGAUGGUACAGGUUUAAAAAUCUCUCAUAUUGGCUCAGCCACACUUCCUACACCAAACUCAACUUUUAAUCUCAAAAAUAUUCUUUGUGUUCCUUAUUUCUGUUUCUAAAUUUUGUAAAUCUAACAAUGUUUAUGUUGAAUUUCAUUCCUCUUUUUUUCUGUGUGAAGGAUCAGGUGAUGGGUGCGGUUUUGAUGCACAGUCUAAGUAACAGUGAUCUAUAUACCUAUAGCCCAACCUUCAACUCUCCCAUGGCACUAUCCACAACUAUGUCCACCAUAGAUCUUUGGCAUGCAAGAUUUGGUCAUCCAUCUCCAAAAAUUCUUACACAAAUGAUGUCUAUGUGUGGUCUAUCUAGGAAUUUUAAUAAUAAAACCAUGCAUUGUAAUUCUUGUUCUAUCAAUAAAGGUCACAAACUUCCAUUUUCUAUAUCCUUUAUACAUACUACUUCUCCUCUUGAACUUAUUAUUUUUUAUGUUUGGGGACCAUCCCAUAUAUUGUCAAUAAAUGGUUACAAAUAUUAUAUUGUGUUUGUCGAUCAUUUCACUAGCUACACAUGGAUCUUUGUUUUUGUUUUUAUUUUUAAUUUUUUUAAAAAAAGGGGUUCAAGGGGUCAAGGGUUCGAAACCUACCCACCACCCUUUUUAAUUAAUUUCAAACGCAGGUUACAUGCUUUAAAAGCGUUUUUUUAAAAGCGCUAUCAUAAUGCUUUUCGUUUUGGGCUUUAACAGCGGUUUCUUUACAAAACGCUAUUAUAAAGUUCACAAGUUGGAGCUUUUAAUAGAGGUUUUCAUACAAACGCUAUCAUAAGGGCUCCGUUUUAAGUUUUAAUAGCACUUUCUAAAUAAGCGCUAUUAAAAGGGCGCUAUUAAGAGGGCGCUAUUAAAACUCAUUUUUGUAGUAGUGUUUAGAGUAGUUUUAGUAGCAAUUGAAGACCAAAUACAAGCAAAUACCUAAAGUUACGAAGUUACUUGUCCAAGAAUCAAGAAAAGUAGAAAAUUCAUAAAAAAGGUCAAAAAAGGAUGGAAUUGAAGAAUCCAUCGUACCCACGAUGGAUGGCCAUCGUAGAACGAUGAAGCAAUACGCACAUCGUACCAAAAUUGUGAUAACUAGAGCUACGAGUUUCGGAUCGAGGCCCGUGACUAUGCGUUGGAAAAAUAAGACAAGGAGCUACAACUUUAGCGUUGGAGCAAAAAUCAAAUUAUGGACGUCAUCAUGGCUACGAUGGGUUACAUCGUGGUCACAAUGACAAGCAAACAUGGCCGAAAACAUACAAACCAUCGUACCCACGAUGAUGACGGCAAAAGCACAUAGAGAAUCCGAGAAAAUCUUUCAUCGUACUACGAUAAGAUCCAUCGUGGCCACGAUGAGGCGAAUUUGAACGCCAUCGUGGCUACGAUGGGUACGAUGGGUCGCAGGAAAAAGCCCAAACCCAGCUGAAAAACUAUAAAUAGAGCUCUCCUCCUUCGAAAUUAUUCAUUCAGAAGUUCAGAUAACUAUAAGCUCUCUAAGGAGCAAAGGAGGAGGAGGCAAGGAGGGCUCAGGAGCUCUAAAGAGAGGGAGACUCUUCCCCACCAUCGGGAGACGAAACUUCCUCUGCAAGGAUUCGAGGUUAUUUUUAUGCAUGUUUUCUUUAUUGUUCAAUAUGCUUAAUAGUAGCUAAGUCCCUUUAGGUUAGGGCAAGUAGAUGACCUCCCGUAUGAAUGAUUGAGAAAAUGUAAUCUGGUUACUUCUAAGUUUAUAUAUAAAUUGCUAUUCAUUUAUUAUCUGUCUGUAUUUGUAUUUAUCGUUUUAUACACUUUCAUAUAUGAAUGGCCAUAUAUACUGUUAGUAACUAGGGUCGAAGUGGAUACCGAGACACCUCUAAGGCUUCGGAAACAAAGGGAUACUAUAACCCACUUACAUGAGACCAUUAAAUUCAGUAUUGAGGUGAGGUUAGAGAUUAAGAAUUACACAUAGCUAAAUUCUGUACUGAUAUUAGGGAACCAGUUAUGCUAGAGAACUUGUUAAAUUAGGAACCUUUAAAAGUAAGGAUGCCUAUUAAAGGCUAAACUCGUUAAGAUAAUGACAAGAAAUAACGAAGGCUAAACCUAAUUUGAUUGAUUCACCCUAGACAGAUUACAAUAGAAGUAAGUAUAGUUAUACUAGGCUUACUUUAAUAGAAAUUAAUCUCCAGAUAAUACGUCAAUAGUGAGCAGAUAUAGCGCCAAUUACCAAGCAGAAAUAGGGGAGGAAUUCGAAAGCACUUAACCUAGUUUUAUCAUCUUGAACUCUUUAUUUUAUCUUUGGUCUUAUACUAUCUAACUUUGUCUCAAAACCUUUUUCAAACAAACAAAGCAAAACCAAAACUAUCCUAAUUCCUAACCGAAACUAAUAGCUUUGGCACAUUCACUGUCAACACUAUACAAACCAAGUGUUGUGAAUUCGUCUUUAAAAUCACACCAAUGAUAACUUGAUGUGUGGAGCAAUAGAACAACAACCAAAUCACAAUUGGAAUAAGCAAUAAUAAUAAUAACUGAUAAAAACGAUAAAUGAGAAGAAAGAACACGAUAAUUUGUUUAGCCAGUUCGGUNNNNNNNNNNNNNNNNNNNNNNNNNNNNNNNNNNNNNNNNNNNNNNNNNNNNCAAAGAGUAACUUUACAAAGAAAUUCCCAAUUGGGUUACAAGAAUUAAUCAUAAUUCUGUCCAAAACACGAAUGUCUUCUCGUGGCCAAAAGACUCAAUUUGAUAUGUGUAUCCCAAGGUAUACCAUAAAGAUAGUUCGCCCACCCUAGAGUUGUACCAAGAGAAAAAUCUCUUUUUCCUCUCUAAAACCCUAGCCCUUGUGUGGUGGCAAACCCUAAUCAUUGCCUCUACAUCACCCACUCCCUAAUUAUUGAAAAAUAUAUGCCAAAAAAUUAGUAAGAAAUCUGUUUUAAAAUAAAACAAAUCCAAGUCAGAAUGUCCUCCGAAAAAAGAUAUUUUUCCCAAAAAAAUCUCCAAAACAGCAAAGAUGCAAAAAAAUUCAACAAAGAUUUUUUCUGACUUCUUGUAACUGAGAUUUCAAGGCGAUCCAACAGCAAGAGCAGAAGAACCAUCAAAUGGUGAAACAUCAAUAAACUAGAAGAGGAACCAUUGCAAUCUAUCUUCAAAUUUCAGAUGCAAUGAAUACAAUAAUCAAAUUAUCUUCAGAAUAGAAAACAGUUGUAGGAAAGAAGUUAUUACUAAAGCACCGCAGCGACGAUGGCAAGAUUUACGGCGAUUGGACCUUCAAAAACGACAAGAUCAACCAAAUGUAGAUUGAAUCCAACGCAAGUUCCAACGCACAAAAAUGAUAACAAGAACCAACAAUCACACCAAAGUUAAAAAUGGAGUGGAGAUAGAAGUAGACUGAAACCUGAAAUCAGUAGGAGAUGAAUCAUGAAUCGCGAUAACAGCAAAACUAAAUCGCAAGAAUCUCAAAACGAAAUUGCGAAUAAAAUUGAAAUCAUAAACCCUAGAAUUUGUGAAAGGAUGAAGAAUUGCGAUUAGAAAUCGCAGAAUGAAAAUGAAAUAGGAAUUGAUCGGUAACAAUGAGGAACAAAUUUAUGGUUAUGAAAAAUAACAAAACGAAAAACUGACAUCAAAUCUGCGAAGAAAGAAGGUGAGUGAAUCGAAACUGAAUCAAGAUCAAAGAAUUGAAACUGAAUCAAGAUCCAAAUUCAAAACUAAUCAAAAUUGAGAAACAAUAUUUUAUCGAGAAACAACAGAAAAAUGAAGAUGAAUGAGAAAAGAAACUGAGAAAUGAGAAAAUUAGAUUUUCUAGGAUGAAAUGCAGCAGAAAAAUUUGUUCAAGGUGGAUACUGAAUUUGCUCUGAUACCAUGUUGAAAAACAUGGCAUCGAUAGGAGGAGAGAAAAUAGUUCAGAAGUGUAUAAUAUUGAUCAGGGAAAAAUAUUACGAAUGAGAAAAGUGAGAGUAAAAUAUUACAACAAAACCUAUAUAUAGUCAUCAAGAAACUACCGACUUAUCCUUCUAAUUACUAACUAAAUCUUUAACGAUUUUUAUUCUUUCUUCAUCGGUGAGUGGUGAUUUUAGGUCAUUUUUUGGCCUAAAAUCACCCCCUCGGCAUAUUUUUUUUCUUGAUUUCAAUCUAAAUAAGUGAUUUUCACAUAGAUUAAGUUUUUUAGUUUUUCUUUCUUUUGUUGUGAUAUCGUCGUCUGAGUGCGGCGUUGUGUUGUUAGUCGUCAUUAGUACGGCGUUUGAUUUCCCAUCUUGUUGCGGUGUUCGUUUAGUUCGUAUUGAAAGAUCAACUUCAAUCAAUUGCAGAUUCAAUCAAUGAUCCGGGCAUCAUCUGGAAGCAUGGACAUUCCAGUAACUUUAAGGGGGGUGUAUUGGAUUAUGAUUUCACAAGAAAAUUUUAGCAAAAAAAAUCUUGAAGAUUUUAAAAGACUUUGUGAGAUUGUAUUGAUUUUAUGAGAUUUUAGAAGACUUUUUUGAAUGACUUUUUCAAUCAAGAUUCUUAACACAAGAAUUUGUGAG